Molecule: unclassified non-coding RNA, 353 nt
Filed under: soil metagenome
Description: partial contains 5.8S ribosomal RNA, internal transcribed spacer 2, and large subunit ribosomal RNA
Rfam family: 5.8S ribosomal RNA (bases 1-120)
Source: RNAcentral
GAUGAAGAACGUAGCGAAAUGCGAUAAGUAAUGUGAAUUGCAGAAUUCAGUGAAUCAUCGAAUCUUUGAACGCACAUUGCGCCCGCCAGUAUUCUUGCGGGCAUGCCUGUUCGAGCGUCAUUACAACCCUCAGGCCCCCGGGCCUGGCGUUGGGGAUCGGCGGAAGCCCCCUGCGGGCACAACGCCGUCCCCCAAAUACAGUGGCGGUCCCGCCGCAGCUUCCAUUGCGUAGUAGCUAACACCUCGCAACUGGAGAGCGGCGCGGCCACGCCGUAAAACACCCAACUUCUGAAUGUUGACCUCGAAUCAGGUAGGAAUACCCGCUGAACUUAAGCAUAUCAAUAAGCGGAGGA